ACCAUGUCCUGCUGGUGAACACAAAUAUUUAGAUAUGAAAUACAUUUUCAAAGAGUCCUGUAAAUGUGGCAGAACCAAAAGAACCCUAAAGAGCACCCAGGUUACCAAACAUCAGACAAAAGCAAUGCAAAACCUGUUACUCAUUGGGGAGCCACUGAAUAAUCUCCAUUUCUGAUGGGAUCGGUUUGUCACAACAGAAUCCACAUUGUGCUGCCUUGGUUUCAUGCUCAUCACGAAGCACAGGACUCGCAAUGGUGCCUAGGCAGCACCCCCAAUCUCCAUCUCGUGAAUCGCAGGGUAAAUCGCAGAAGCCCACUGGAACACCUUGUUUGCCAGGAUGCUUCACUUGAAGCAGAGGCUGAGUUAUUCAAGUGCAACUGGCAGAACAGUUGUAUUGUCAUGAGUCAAGGGGCAGCGGUGAGCAGCCAAGGACGAGGCGGUGUGGGAGUAUUGUAACUGACAGGCUGGCCAAACCAGCAUCUGAGAACACAGAGGCUGCAAACUUCUGGUAGCAGAUGUCUUUUCCUGUGAAUUCCUGAAGCCCCGGGGCUCUCCAGGGGUUGCCUAGGUUCUGCCUACUUCAGCUUGAAAGCUUUUAUUUGAAGCCUGCUCCCUGCGAGUGCCGUAUCUCAGCUCCCCCAUUUAGCUGACAUUUUCUGAGUCCAGCAGCCUGCUCGGGCAUUACCUGGCCUUCCUGCUCACUGCAGUUUCUCCCAGCCCUGUAAGUCGUUCCUUCACACAGCACACUCCUAGUGGAGCAGCCCUGGGGGCAAGACUGUUCCUGCGUGAAGGCUUCACACCUGGGCAGCGCUCCUGUGGGCAGGUCGCUGGCUGCCUCACAGCAAGGCAGAAAGUGAAAAUGUAUUCAUAGCAGAGCCCUGAAGCUUCCCACAGUGACUUCCCACCUCCCCUCCUCAGUGCAGCACAUGGAGGACUCCCGUGCUGAGAAAUCCCCCCGCUGAAGGCACUGGGCCACAGCCAGUGUCGGUGCUGCAGCUGCUGGGGAUGCUCACCAGAGGUGCAGGGACCUGCAGCACCCCUCCAUCCCGAGGGCGCUUGAGCAGGACAGCAGUAAGCACAGCACGAAAAGACUUUGGAAAAUCCUUUUAAGGGAUGG
RNAcentral lists this long non-coding RNA (1117 nucleotides) under Anas platyrhynchos platyrhynchos (common mallard). Its description in RNAcentral is "lncRNA (ENSAPLG00000030105.1)". The record is from RNAcentral. Lineage: Eukaryota; Metazoa; Chordata; Aves; Anseriformes; Anatidae.